This 4093-nucleotide long non-coding RNA is filed under the name Homo sapiens (human). RNAcentral's name for it is "non-protein coding lnc-GPAT4-1:1". The record is from RNAcentral. Lineage: Eukaryota; Metazoa; Chordata; Mammalia; Primates; Hominidae.
GCCGCCAAGGGAACAUGUGUUCCAUGGGCCACCCGGAGGGAACAUGUGUACACAUGUGUGCAUGCCUGUGUGUGCACGUGUGCCUGUGUGUGCAUGCGUGCAUGUGUAUGCAUGUGCACGAGUGUGUGCAUGUAUGAGUUUGUAUUUGUGUAUAUAUGUUCUCGUGUGUGUGUAUGUAUCUGUGCAUGCAUGCAUAGAUGUGUGUGUGCACAUAUCAAGGCAACUUCAGACAAAGAAACCAAGAGUGGGUCCCAGGGGGUUAGUUUCUGGGGCUGGGGACAGGGUUGGGGGAGAGGAUGACAAGGAGGAUGCAGCUGGGGGUGGGGAGAGAAUAUACUACAAAAAGAAAUCAAGAGUGGUUCUGGCAUUUAAUUUCUAAUCUCAUCUCACUAGAAAACUUGUAAAAUCCUCAACCAGAAGUGCUAAAGAGAAACGUCUCUGCCUGGUUCUUCUACAUUUGUGGAAAGUCUCCCUCUCUGGAAAACAGUCACCACUUUCUGCUUUCACUGGGGACUACAUUUGGAAGGCUGGAGAGAAGAGCUGAAAGCCAACAGGAGGUCUUGCUGGUGAUGUGGAGUGGGUUCCAUCUGUGGCCCAUGCACCCCAAAGCCUCUCCAGCCACCUCAAUCUCCUGGCCCUCUGCAGUUUCUCUAAAACGUGGCAAGCUCUGGACCACACACAAGCCCAACAGCCAGGACUCCCUGCUGAGCAGCCAUUCCCCAACUGGAAGGGCUACCAUGCCAGGCAAUUCCGAGAGACGCCUUUUAGGCAGAAUUCACGAGAAUCUGUUCUCGCCCCAGCACAGCUGUGCACGGUGCCUGCUGCGUGGGUACCACACCCAGGGACCACCUUCCCAGGCCCUCUCACUGUAUUUUCACCACCCUGCCCUCCCUUCUGCAGCCAUCUACACACACUGCUGUUGUCUUCUGCAGAGGAAUAAGCAUGCCUCAGUCCCCAUCCCAGCAAGAGCAGGAGGCAUGGCAGAGGUGGCACCAGAGAGCACAUCCCCUGUGGCCUGGGACGGACCAUUCCACAGUCACCCCACUGGAGUCUGCACAGAUGGCUCCUCCCUGCCCUUCAUGGGAAGGGACGGAGCUGAGGGCACAGAGACCAGCAACCAACAGACCCCCGACUCAGGGCGGUGACCCAGGGCCAGGAGGGAGGCAGAGGGUCUCCAAGGCCAAGAGGGCUGGGGGCACAGGUCAGCUUCAGGGUCCAUCCCAGGGGCUGGUACUAGGAGAGGGUGGAGAGCACCCUGCGUGAGGGCUGGGGGUCCCUGCUGCUGGCGGCUCCCCUGCUGCCUCACAGCUAAGGGUCUAUGUCACAGUCAGGGACAGAGCGCCAAGAAACACCCCUGGCCAAACUGGGAAUGGAGCUAAGUAAACCCAGGGAUUUAAAUAACUGGGAUUUUUAAAGGCUAGGCACAAAACAGGGGUUUGUGACAAUGUGCAGAGCCCUCCAUCUAGAGGAAACAUUUCUUAUGUGCCUGACACCAGCUCCAUCUCACUUGGGCCCGGGGCCCUUUAGCAAGGGUUCCUGCUGCCACACCCCCUGCCAUGGGGCCACCAGAUGGAAAAAUAACUGAAUAUUUCCAUAGAGAGCUUUCAAACCAAACAUGCAAACUCACAAGGCCAAAAUGCAUGGCCAAGAAGAAAACGCAGAGGUUUGCUGCAAAGGAGCCCACCGUGUUGGGGGAGGCUUUGCCUGGCAUUUCUUGGGUGGGUAUUUCAAACAGGGAGAGUAAAGCUGCUCUCCUGCAGGUCCCUUAAUGUCACCCUCUGCGUCUCCUUUUACCUAUUUGCCACUAAGCAGCAAGCCACUGAACCAUUCCACUCCCCAGUUUCCUCCCCAAAAUAAGAUCUUAUUUCCCAGAGGGAGCAGCGUACGGACUGAGUGAGCCCUGCAUCCAGCAGGUCUUCCCCUAAACAUUGUAGAGCCCUCCGUGCCCCCAGGUAAUUCCUGACACCCAGAAAGGACGGGGCCGCCUGUUGAGAACUGUCUCAGGGGGUCUCAGAUUCUCGCUGAAUUGAAUUCUAAGCAUUUUAUUUGAAUCAAAAUAUAUCACAUUGCAUACAUUAAUGUUUACUUCAUCUUAUGCAUUUGGAGUUAGAGCCUCUCUAAUCACCUAUGCGAAACUAAGUAAGCAAGGUGUAAAUCUGGAUCCGAAAUUAGAUGAAAAAAUUCCAUCCUGUUCAGCUUAUCAAAUUUCAAGUAUUUCAUUAACUUGAUCAUUAGAUGCUGGCUGAUCAGAAAGUCCCAAGAUUUCUAACUACUGUAAUCUAAAUGGUAUAGGCGUUUCUAAAAUAUCCACACUGAAAAAAAGCUCCUUUGCUCAUCCCAAAUCCAUUUCAUCUGAUUGAAUGAUUUUCUCAUUUCCACAGAGAGCUGUUAAACCAGCCAAGCAAACUAUCAAAGCUCCGCAGGCCCAGGAGGAGGAAGAAAUUAGACGACAUUUGGAUAAGUCAGUUCUUAGCAAAGUAGUAGUGCACCUAAUUAAGUGAAUGCAGCGCAUGGGGUUUCUGUGAACCAAGUCCUAUUUCCUCUGAGAGUUGUCUAACUGGUAAUCCAGUCAUUGAAGGAGAUCGUUUCGAAAGUCUCCCAAGUCCUACUCCCGGUCCAUGCAACUGUCCCUCCUCCCAAAUUAUCCACAAGACUCUGAUCAAAUACUUCCCUCUUUGGAGAAUUCUAAUUUUUGGAAAGUUCUUUCUCAUCUCAAGUUGAAAUCUGCUUUCCUGUGACUUCUACCCCACCCUUUCCCGGGUCCUUCCCUGGAGCACCAAGGAGUGAAUCUCUACUCUUGCUGGUAGCAACCUGGUGACAAUUCGGGACUUUUUUUCAGCCUUUUCAGUAUUCUCUUUUCCUCUGUUCCUCCAAAGUUUCUCCCAGGCAUGCAGAAAGACCCUUUUCCUCAUUGAACCCCUGCCUACGUCCAUCCAAUGAUCAAGGUCUCUCCAACAAAGGAAAAUCUGAACGCCAUCCUCUUAAUGGAGACUGACACUGCAUUUCCCAAAAUGUGUUCCCAGGAACACCAGCCCUGUGCAAUGUCACCCACACCAAUCCAAAGGGUGCUCUGGGCAAGUAAAUGUGGACAAUGCAAACCUUGUCCUUACAGAGUCACAAACCAAGGAAGCAUAUUACAGCCCUGAGCAGGGCCAGGUAUGGUGGCUCACACCUGUAAUUCCAGCACUUUGGGAGGCCAAAGUGGGAGGAUCAUUUGAGGCCAGGAGUUUGCCACCAGACUGGGCAACAUAGCAAGACUCCAUCUCUAAAAAUAUUGUUUUUAAUGAGCUGUGCAUGGUGGCAUGCACCUAUAGUCCCAGCUACAGGAGAAUCACUUGAGCCCAGGAGGUCGCGGCUGCAGUGGGCUAUGAUUGCAUCACUGCACUCCAGCCUAGGCAGACUUGGUGGCAUCGCAAGACCCUAUCUCAAAAAAAAAAAAAAAAGCUGUGAGCAUUCUUGGAGAAACUGAUUAACAGUGUUUAAGCCAAGAUUCCAUAAUCGCAUUUGACUCUAAAACUCUUUAUUUCCCCCACAUAACACACUUAGGGAAAGGAUGGUUAUUUUCACUCUGACCGAGCUUUGAACACUUCACUAUAUUUCUCUACCCCACUCUCUCACCCCCACUCUCUCUACCCCAUUCUCCACUCCUAGCCUCCUGGUGCCCAGGAACUAACACCAUCAAAACAAAGAACUUUAAUGCAAUAGCUCUCAGUAUUUAGUGAAUUCCUUCUUAAAGCAAAGCAUCCUUUUGGGAUAGAAUUAAUCAAUUCCCUAAUUUUCUGGCUUUGUAAAUGUGAACGUUAGUAUAUUAAGUAUUCACCCCUUCAAUAAGAUCUGUAAUACAAUUCAAUGCUACCACCUACCGCAAGGACAUUUUUCAGGUAAUUGAUGUUUGUCAUUAAAUUCACUGACAAAUAUGAAAGGCAAGGAGAAAACUAGAAACAUUUUGGACACUUUUUAUCAUGCAUGUAUAACUAAAUCUAUUCAGUUAAAGCUUUUUUUUGCCUUCCACAAACGUUUUUAUCUAUAAUAUUUUUCAUAUGCACUUGGGAGCUAAUUACUGAAAGAAACCUCAUGGUGAAGGUUUUGCAAA